RNAcentral lists this ribosomal RNA (201 nucleotides) under Charinus sp. 4 GSM-2017. Its description in RNAcentral is "partial small subunit ribosomal RNA". The record is from RNAcentral. Lineage: Eukaryota; Metazoa; Arthropoda; Arachnida; Amblypygi; Charinidae.
AAUAUAAGAAGAUCUAGAAACCUAAAAUUUUUGGCGGUUUGUUAGCCUGGUUAGAGGAAUCUGCUCUUUAAUGGAUAGUCCUCCGUGGAUUUUACUUUUUUUUUAAAUAUCGCCGUCGACGUCAGGUCAAGGUUUAGUUGAUAGAAGAGGUUGAAGGUGGAUUUAAAAGUUGAUAGUGUAAAAUUGAGCUCUGAUGAAUGU